This 61-nucleotide microRNA precursor is filed under the name Eptatretus burgeri (inshore hagfish). Its description in RNAcentral is "Ebu-Mir-8-P3o1_pre stem-loop". The record is from RNAcentral. Lineage: Eukaryota; Metazoa; Chordata; Myxini; Myxiniformes; Myxinidae.
GCCUUUACCAGACAAGCUUAGAUGUCACAGUGAAAUCUCUAAUACUGUCUGGUAAUGUCGU